RNAcentral lists this ribosomal RNA (253 nucleotides) under uncultured bacterium. Its description in RNAcentral is "partial 16S ribosomal RNA". It matches the Rfam family "Bacterial small subunit ribosomal RNA", at positions 524 to 776 of the family's 1533-position model. The record is from RNAcentral.
GACAGAGGGUGCAAGUGUUAAUCGGAAUGACUGGGCGUAAAGGGCGCGUAGGUGGUUAUUUAGGUUUGGCGUGAAAGCCCCCGACUCAAUCGGGGAAGCGCGUCAAAUACCGGAUAGCUAGAGUGAGAGAGAGGGUUGUGGAAUUUCCGGUGUAGCGGUGAAAUGCGUAGAUAUCGGAAGGAACACCAGCGGCGAAGGCGGCAACCUGGCUCUUUACUGACACUGAGGCGCGAAGGCGUGGGGAGCAAACAGG